CCAAUUGAUCUUCACUGGCAUCUCUGAAUGCGCACCUGUUCACUUCGUGAAUGUACAGUAAAAUAUAAUAAAAUGUGCGAAGUUCACAUGCGACGUGCACGUUCGUAGAGAACGUUGAUAAGCAAACUGGACAGUGACGUAACUAUAGUCGCCGAAUAGUGCUAGCCAGUUCUCCUUCUCUCACCGGUCUUAUCGUGCGUUAUUCUGUACGCACAUCGAUCCUCUUAUCGAGAGUCAUUCCGUCAAAUAUCCGUUAUUCAAAUCUGAUGAAACUAUAGAAUUGGAUGACUCAUCGAUCGAACAACUAUAUAUCAUUUGAUAGAGACAUCUUUAGAAUUUUGUUCAGAUAAAAUCAAAAUGGUUGCGUUCAGGACACUCAACAGUUGUACAACAGUUGAGUAAUUCGAUAAUAUAAUUGGUCCAAAUUUAGAGAUUUAACAGUAAGGACCAAUAAUUACUGAUCGCUCACUGAUCACUUGUGUUUCCUGAACGCAACCAUUCUAAAAUUAUACUAAAGAAAAAGAAAAUGAGAAUUUUUUAAUUAAGUUAACUUAUUGAUGUAUAUAGACUACUUCUAUUAAAUUUAUUAAAAGAGAUGCAAUCACGAAACUAAUUGUCCAAACAUAAAAUAUGGAAGUUUAUUUUAUGCUAUUAAUCAUUAAAUAUUAUUUAAAAAAAAAA
This is a long non-coding RNA of Monomorium pharaonis (pharaoh ant), 681 nucleotides long. RefSeq lists it as uncharacterized. NCBI's taxonomy places the organism in Eukaryota, Metazoa, Arthropoda, Insecta, Hymenoptera, Formicidae. The transcript has 2 exons. The record is from RefSeq and is a predicted model, not a curated record.